Molecule: long non-coding RNA, 848 nt
Organism: Bos taurus (domestic cattle)
Lineage: Eukaryota; Metazoa; Chordata; Mammalia; Artiodactyla; Bovidae
Source: Ensembl
AGACACUGGGCUGGUUUUACUGGUCUCCCCACACUGUACAGAAAGCCAGGCCUCUCCUUGCACAGCUGGUUUCCUUGGUGGUGUGAGUCACUUCUGUUAUGUUGCUCCGUUCAUCCAUAUUAUGUAGGUUUUUACUAGCUGCCUUCUCAGAGUAUGUCCUGGCCUCCCAUAACAGAGAUAGGAAGCUUUUCCAGAAUAGAAAGGCUGUGCUUCUGAUAUGUUGUGUCUGCAAAGGGUCAGCCUCUCUGCUUGCCUCCAGAGUAGCACUUGGGAGAUAUUUAUUAGCCUGUGCCAUGUCCUUUCUCCAGGAUCCCAGGCUGGAGACAGUUUCUUCACCCAUCCUCCUUCCUCAAUCUUCUCAGCUGGUUCCCUUUGGCCUGACUCAGAGACUGACCUCGAGUGACCUCACUCAUCUUGUCCACAGGGACCCCGGAUGUUCUUAGAGCCACAGACUCUUAGGGCUGGAAGGAAGUUUGAAUCCAACUUCUCUGUGUUGUAGAGGAGCAAGCUGAGGUGCGGAGAGGAGAGGUGAGCUGCCUGUGGUCUUUUGGCUACUUAGCAGCAGUGUUAGGACUGAACUGAGGUCUCUCCCUCCAGCCAGAUGCUGUUGAUUCUGUGACUGUGGCUCUCAGAGGGUGUUCUCACAUGAAACUGGGGCUCAGGCAGAUGGACUGAAGCUCUCUCCUGCCAAAUCAAAUAUCGGAGGUCUUUCCCCAGUCUACAGAAAAAAUAGAUUAAGGGAUUAAGUUUCAACUUUCUUUUCCCUUUAUUCUUUUUAAACCAUUGUCACCUGCUACCAACUGUCCACGAGCCAAUGAGAUUUUCUAUUGCAUUCAUGUAAUUAAAGC